GGGAUUUUCCGCAUGGGCGAAAGCCUGACGGAGCAAUACCGCGUGAGGGAGGAAGGUCCUUGGAUUGUAAACCUCUUUUAUCAGGGAAGAAGUUCUGACGGUACCUGAUGAAUAAGCAUCGGCUAACUCCGUGCCAGCAGCCGCGGUAAUACGGAGGAUGCAAGCGUUAUCCGGAAUUAUUGGGCGUAAAGCGUCCGUAGGUGGUUAUGCAAGUCUGCCGUUAAAGAAUGGAGCUUAACUCCAUAGGAGCGGUGGAAACUGCAAGACUAGAGUACAGUAGGGGUAGCAGGAAUUCCCAGUGUAGCGGUGAAAUGCGUAGAUAUUGGGAAGAACAUCGGUGGCGAGAGCGUGCUACUGGGCUGAAACUGACACUGAGGGACGAAAGCUAGGGUAGCGAAAGGGAUUAGAUACCCCUGUAGUCCUAGCCGUAAACGAUGGAUACUAGGCGUGGUUUGUAUCGACCCGAGCCGUGCCGAAGCUAACGCGUUAAGUAUCCCGCCUGGGGAGUACGCACGCAAGUGUGAAACUCAAAGGAAUUGACGGGGGCCCGCACAAGCGGUGGAGUAUGUGGUUUAAUUCGAUGCAACGCGAAGAACCUUACCAAGGCUUGACAUCCCUGGAAUCCUGCGGAAACGUGGGAGUGCCUUAGGGAGCCAGGAGACAGGUGGUGCAUGGCUGUCGUCAGCUCGUGUCGUGGGAUGUUGGGUUAAGUCCCGCAACGAGCGCAACCCUCGUUUUUA
RNAcentral lists this ribosomal RNA (740 nucleotides) under Synechocystis sp. S1S. RNAcentral describes it as "bacterial SSU rRNA". It matches the Rfam family "Bacterial small subunit ribosomal RNA", at positions 358 to 1113 of the family's 1533-position model. The record is from RNAcentral. Lineage: Bacteria; Bacillati; Cyanobacteriota; Cyanophyceae; Synechococcales; Merismopediaceae.